Small nuclear RNA from Suricata suricatta (meerkat), 106 nucleotides. The record is from Ensembl. Lineage: Eukaryota; Metazoa; Chordata; Mammalia; Carnivora; Herpestidae.
GCUUGCUUCAGCAGCACCAUAUCCUAAAAUAGGAAUGAUACAGGGAAGACUAGCAUGGCUCCUGUACAAGGAUAGCAUGCAAAUUUAUGAAACAUUCUAUUUUUAA